GCCUAGUUAGCUUAGUUGGUAAGCGCUAGGCCGCGGGUUCGAUUCCCGCCCGGGGCG
This 57-nucleotide transfer RNA is filed under the name Diaphorina citri (Asian citrus psyllid). It matches the Rfam family "tRNA". From Rfam's summary of the family: Transfer RNA (tRNA) molecules are approximately 80 nucleotides in length. Their secondary structure includes four short double-helical elements and three loops (D, anti-codon, and T loops). Lineage: Eukaryota; Metazoa; Arthropoda; Insecta; Hemiptera; Psyllidae. The record is from Rfam by way of RNAcentral.